AUGGACAUGGGCAUGGAUCUUUCCAGCUCCUCCCCGUCCUCGUCUGUGUCAUCCACGCCCGAGCACGCAUCGGGGCGGGCGUCGCCGGCCAAGCGCCCCACGGGGCGCACCAAGUUCCGGGAGACGCGGCACCCGGUGUACCGCGGCGUGCGGCGCAGGGGCAACGCGGGACGGUGGGUCUGCGAGGUGCGCGUCCCCGGCAAGCGUGGCGCUCGGCUCUGGCUCGGGACGUACCUGACGGCCGAGGCCGCCGCCCGCGCGAACGACGCCGCCAUGCUCGCACUCGGCGGCCGCUCAGCAAGGUGCCUCAACUUCGCGGACUCGGCGUGGCUGCUCGCCGUGCCGUCCGCGCUCUCCAACCUCGCCGACGUCCGUCGCGCGGCCCUCCAGGCCGUCGCGGAUUUCCAGCGACGGGAGGCUGCCAAUGGCCUGAUAGCCAGGACCGUCGCCAAGGAGGCCCCAUCUAGCGCUCCUGCACAAUCGUCGUCUGAGUCCGACAGUGCCGACUCGUCGGAGACGUCGGAAGCUUCCGCCGAUGGAGAGUUCGAGGUGCUGGCUACAAUGGACAUCGAUAUGUUCAGUAGGCUUGACUUGUUCCCGGAAAUGGACCUGGGCUCGUACUACGUGAGCCUCGCGGAGGCGCUGCUCAUGGACCCGCCGUCGACGGCGGCCAUCAUGGACGCGUACUGGGACAACGGCGACGGCGGAGCAGAUGUCGCGCUCUGGAGCUACUAG
Molecule: ribosomal RNA, 735 nt
Filed under: Triticum aestivum (bread wheat)
Lineage: Eukaryota; Viridiplantae; Streptophyta; Magnoliopsida; Poales; Poaceae
Description: partial small subunit ribosomal RNA
Source: RNAcentral